This 483-nucleotide ribosomal RNA is filed under the name uncultured bacterium. RNAcentral's name for it is "SSU rRNA". It matches the Rfam family "Bacterial small subunit ribosomal RNA", at positions 26 to 519 of the family's 1533-position model. The record is from RNAcentral.
AGGACGAACGCUGGCGGCGUGCCUAACACAUGCAAGUCGAACGCGCUCCAUUCGGUAGCAAUACUGAUGAAGAGCGAGUGGCGAACGGGUGAGUAGCACGUGAGCAACCUGCCCCGAAGACCGGGACAACACCGGGAAACCGGUGCUAAUACCGGAUAUCCCUAUCGGACCGCAUGAUCUGAUAAGGAAAUGGAUUCCGCUUCGGGAGGGGCUCGCGGCCUAUCAGCUAGUUGGUGAGGUAACGGCCCACCAAGGCAUCGACGGGUAGCUGGUCUGAGAGGACGAUCAGCCACACUGGGACUGAGACACGGCCCAGACUCCUACGGGAGGCAGCAGUGGGGAAUCUUGCGCAAUGGGCGAAAGCCUGACGCAGCAACGCCGCGUGGAGGACGAAGGCUUUCUGAGUUGUAAACUCCUUUCAGCAGGGACGAUAGUGACGGUACCUGCAGAAGAGCACCGGCCAACUACGCGCCAGCAGCCGUA